GGUUUUUUCUUGUUUUGUUUUUUUUCUAAAUUUGUGGUUUGCUUUCAUCCAGGGCACACAAAAAACACCUGUCUCAAGACGGAAGAUUUCCUUCGCACAUUUCUAUCUUCAGCAGAAGAGAGAGUUCUUGGACAGAGAGAGAAACAGACUCCAGAGGAAAUUCCAGUGCGAGACAUGAUGGAAAAGACUGAGGGACGACCCGCAGGCAUACUUUGUAGAGGAUUGGCUGAACACCAGGUGGACUAAAACACUUUCAAGUCUGAGUGUUCUGAGCUAUAAAAUACCUUCUGGCAUUAACAUUUUUAUCUGAACAAACAUCUCUCUGAGUUUGGUCUAUGAUAUGUCUAAUGGUGCA
Fundulus heteroclitus (mummichog) is the source of this 355-nucleotide long non-coding RNA. RefSeq lists it as uncharacterized. The record is from RefSeq and is a predicted model, not a curated record. The transcript is spliced from 3 exons. Lineage: Eukaryota; Metazoa; Chordata; Actinopteri; Cyprinodontiformes; Fundulidae.